UGGGGAAUAUUAGGCAAUGGGGGAAACCCUGACCUAGCAACGCCGCGUGAAGGAAGAAGGCUUUCGGGUUGUAAACUUCUUUUACCAGGGACGAAGAACGUGACGGUACCUGGAGAAAAAGCUCCGGCUAACUACGUGCCAGCAGCCGCGGUAAUACGUAGGGAGCAAGCGUUGUCCGGAUUUACUGGGUGUAAAGGGCGUGUAGGCGGAGCAGCAAGUCAGAAGUGAAAUCUCCGGGCUUAACCCGGAAACUGCUUUUGAAACUGUUGCCCUUGAGUAUCGGAGAGGCAGGCGGAAUUCCUAGUGUAGCGGUGAAAUGCGUAGAUAUUAGGAAGAACACCAGUGGCGAAGGCGGCCUGCUGGACGACAACUGACGCUGAGGCGCGAAAGCGUGGGGAGCAAACAGG
This 407-nucleotide ribosomal RNA is filed under the name uncultured bacterium. RNAcentral's name for it is "bacterial SSU rRNA". It matches the Rfam family "Bacterial small subunit ribosomal RNA", at positions 355 to 776 of the family's 1533-position model. The record is from RNAcentral.